This 253-nucleotide ribosomal RNA is filed under the name uncultured bacterium. Its description in RNAcentral is "partial 16S ribosomal RNA". It matches the Rfam family "Bacterial small subunit ribosomal RNA", at positions 524 to 776 of the family's 1533-position model. The record is from RNAcentral.
UACGAAGGGGGCUAGCGUUGCUCGGAUUGACUGGGCGUAAAGGGCGCGUAGGCGGUUCGUACAGUCAGACGUGAAAUUCCUGGGCUCAACCUGGGGGCUGCGUUUGAUACGUGCGGACUUGAGUGCGGAAGAGGGUCGUGGAAUUCCCAGUGUAGAGGUGAAAUUCGUAGAUAUUGGGAAGAACACCGGUGGCGAAGGCGGCUAUCUGGACCGUAACUGACGCUGAGGCGCGAAAGCGUGGGGAGCAAACAGG